GCGGCUGCGAGGCGUUUUGACGGCUGGAUUGUGAUUCCUGUCGUCGUGGGUUCGAGUCCCAUCAGCCACCCCA
This 73-nucleotide transfer RNA is filed under the name Paraburkholderia sp. HC6.4b. RNAcentral describes it as "tRNA-Ser". Lineage: Bacteria; Pseudomonadati; Pseudomonadota; Betaproteobacteria; Burkholderiales; Burkholderiaceae. The record is from RNAcentral. RNAcentral also lists the same sequence under 1 other name.